Molecule: ribosomal RNA, 497 nt
Filed under: uncultured bacterium
Lineage: Bacteria
Description: partial 16S ribosomal RNA
Rfam family: Bacterial small subunit ribosomal RNA
Source: RNAcentral
GAUGAACGCUGGCGGCGUGCCUAAUACAUGCAAGUCGAGCGAACAGAUAAGGAGCUUGCUCCUUUGACGUUAGCGGCGGACGGGUGAGUAACACGUGGGUAACCUACCUAUAAGACUGGGAUAACUUCGGGAAACCGGAGCCAAUACCGGAUAACAUUUGGAACCGCAUGGUUCUAAAGUGAAAGAUGGUUUUGCUAUCACUUAUAGAUGGACCCGCGCCGUAUUAGCUAGUUGGUAAGUUAACGGCUUACCAAGGCGACGAUACGUAGCCGACCUGAUAGGGUGAUCGGCCACACUGGAACGGAGACACGGUCCAGACUCCUACGGGAGGCAGCAGUAGGGAAUCUUCCGCAAUAGGCGAAAGCCUGACGGAGCAACGCCGCGUGAGUGAUGAAGGGUUUCGGCUCGUAAAACUCUGUUAUUAGGGAAGAACAAAUGUGUAAGUAACUGUGCACGUCUUGACGGUACCUAAUCAGAAAGCCACGGCUAACUACGUG